This 497-nucleotide ribosomal RNA is filed under the name uncultured bacterium. RNAcentral describes it as "partial 16S ribosomal RNA". It matches the Rfam family "Bacterial small subunit ribosomal RNA", at positions 28 to 507 of the family's 1533-position model. The record is from RNAcentral.
GAUGAACGCUGGCGGCGUGCCUAAUACAUGCAAGUCGAGCGAACAGACGAGGAGCUUGCUCCUCUGACGUUAGCGGCGGACGGGUGAGUAACACGUGGAUAACCUACCUAUAAGACUGGGAUAACUUCGGGAAACCGGAGCUAAUACCGGAUAAUAUAUUGAACCGCAUGGUUCAAUAGUGAAAGACGGUUUUGCUGUCACUUAUAGAUGGAUCCGCGCCGCAUUAGCUAGUUGGUAAGGUAACGGCUUACCAAGGCAACGAUGCGUAGCCGACCUGAGAGGGUGAUCGGCCACACUGGAACUGAGACACGGUCCAGACUCCUACGGGAGGCAGCAGUAGGGAAUCUUCCGCAAGGGGCGAAAGCCUGACGGAGCAACGCCGCGUGAGUGAUGAAGGUCUUCGGAUCUUAAAACUCUGUUAUUAGGGAAGAACAAAUGUGUAAGUAACUAUGCACGUCUUGACGGUACCUAAUCAGAAAGCCACGGCUAACUACGUG